UACGGAGGAUCCAAGCGUUAUCCGGAUUUAUUGGGUUUAAAGGGUGCGUAGGCGGUCCUAUAAGUCAGUGGUGAAAGACGGCAGCUUAACUGUCGCAGUGCCUUUGAUACUGUAGGACUUGAAUCUAUUUGAAGUGGGCGGAAUAAGACAAGUAGCGGUGAAAUGCAUAGAUAUGUCUUAGAACUCCGAUUGCGAAGGCAGCUCACUAAGUUAGUAUUGACGCUGAUGCACGAAAGCGUGGGGAUCAAACAGGAUUAGAUACCCGGGUAGUCC
This 273-nucleotide ribosomal RNA is filed under the name uncultured bacterium. Its description in RNAcentral is "partial 16S ribosomal RNA". It matches the Rfam family "Bacterial small subunit ribosomal RNA", at positions 524 to 796 of the family's 1533-position model. The record is from RNAcentral.